UGCCUCACAACAGCCUCCACAGGCACAGCUCC
This 32-nucleotide non-coding RNA is filed under the name Homo sapiens (human). Lineage: Eukaryota; Metazoa; Chordata; Mammalia; Primates; Hominidae. The record is from RNAcentral.